AAGUCGUAACAAGGUUUCCGUAGGUGAACCUGCGGAAGGAUCAUUACUGGGUCAAAGGGCGCUCCGGCGCCCGACACCAACCCUUUGCUUGUGGCAUUACCUUCGGCGCCGAAGGGGGUCUGACUGGAAUCCACGAAGGCCCUCGCCGAACGCAACUCUGAACAACGAUGCAGCCUGAAGUAAAAAGCAAAUAGUUAAAA
This 200-nucleotide unclassified non-coding RNA is filed under the name plant metagenome. RNAcentral describes it as "partial contains small subunit ribosomal RNA and internal transcribed spacer 1". The stretch from base 1 to 46 matches the Rfam family "Eukaryotic small subunit ribosomal RNA", at positions 1786 to 1831 of the family's 1831-position model. The record is from RNAcentral.